RNAcentral lists this ribosomal RNA (468 nucleotides) under uncultured bacterium. Its description in RNAcentral is "SSU rRNA". It matches the Rfam family "Bacterial small subunit ribosomal RNA", at positions 26 to 518 of the family's 1533-position model. The record is from RNAcentral.
AGAAUGAACGUUGGCGGCGUGGAUUAGGCAUGCAAGUCGAACGGGCCGCAAGGCCAGUGGCGCAAGGGUGAGUAAGGCGACGGUAACCAACCCCGCGGGUGGGCAUAGCCGAGGGAAACUUCGGGUAAUUCCCAGCGAUGCAUCGGAUCGGCAUCGAUCCUCUGCCAAAGAUUUAUCGCCGUGGGACGGGCCGUUGUGGUAUUAGCUUGUUGGCGGGGUGACGGCCCACCAAGGCUUCGAUGCCUACCGGGCGUGCGAGCGUGGCCCGGCACACUGGGACUGAGACACUGCCCCAGACUCCUACGGGAGGCUGCAGUCGAGAAUCUUCGGCAAUGGGCGCAAGCCUGACCGAGCGACGCCGCGUGGAGGAUGAAGGCCUUCGGGUUGUAAACUCCUGUCGAGGGGGAGAAGCCGCAAGGUUGACCGAUCCCUGGAGGAAGCACGGGCUAAGUUCGCGCCAGCAGCCGC